CCUACGGGAGGCAGCAGUGAGGAAUAUUGCUCAAUGGGGGAAACCCUGAAGCAGCAACGCCGCGUGGAGGAUGAAGGUUUUCGGAUUGUAAACUCCUUUUGUUAGGGAAGAUAAUGACGGUAUCUAACGAAUAAGCACCGGCUAACUCCGUGCCAGCAGCCGCGGUAAUGCGGAGGGUGCAAGCGUUCCUCGGAAUCACUGGGCGGAAAGGGCGCGUAGGCGGGAGAGCAAGUCAGAUGUGAAAUCCUAUGGCUUAACCAUAGAACUGCAUUUGAAACUGUUAUGCUAGAGUAUGGGAGAGGUAGGCGGAAUUCUUGGUGUAGGGGUAAAAUGCGUAGAGAUCAAGAGGAAUACCAAUUGCGAAGGCAGCAUACCGGCGCUCAACUGACGUUCAGGCACGAAAGUGUGGGGAUCGAACAGGAUUAGAUACCCCUGUAGUC
Molecule: ribosomal RNA, 440 nt
Filed under: uncultured bacterium
Lineage: Bacteria
Description: partial 16S ribosomal RNA
Rfam family: Bacterial small subunit ribosomal RNA
Source: RNAcentral